GAUGAACGCUGGCGGCGUGCUUAACACAUGCAAGUCGAACGGAGAAACGGUAGCUUGCUAUCUUUUUUAGUUGGCGGACGGGUGGAGUAACGCGUGGGUAACCUGCCCUUUGCAGGGGGAGUAACAGUGAGAAAUCGCUGCUAAUACCGCAUACCAACUUCUUUCGCAUGAAAGAAGUUUGAAAGAUUUAUCGGCAAAGGAUGGACCCGCGUUGGAUUAGCUAGUUGGUGAGAUAACAGCCCACCAAGGCAACGAUCCAUAGCCGGCCUGAGAGGGUGAACGGCCACACUGGGACUGAGACACGGCCCAGACUCCUACGGGAGGCAGCAGUGGGGAAUAUUGCACAAUGGGCGAAAGCCUGAUGCAGCGACGCCGCGUGAAGGAUGAAGGUCUUCGGAUUGUAAACUUCUAUCAGCAGGGAAGAAAGGGCUUAUAGCCUAUGACGGUACCUGACUAAGAAGCCCCGGCUAACUACGUG
RNAcentral lists this ribosomal RNA (478 nucleotides) under uncultured bacterium. RNAcentral describes it as "bacterial SSU rRNA". It matches the Rfam family "Bacterial small subunit ribosomal RNA", at positions 28 to 507 of the family's 1533-position model. The record is from RNAcentral.